UACGUUUGGUCAGGGUCAGAGGUCAUAGUGAGCCAUGUCACAGUUGGUCUCGGUUGGGUUUAUCCGGUCGGUCCCUGGAGGAUUUUAAGGACCGUGCGUGGACCACAACGACUGGUUAUGGAGUGGCUGCAUUAAAGAACCACUGGGGCGGUUGCGUUACGGUCCAGGCCGCUGACCGUGCGAGGUGGACAGUAUGGCGGAGGUUAGGGUUAGUGGACCGGUUCUGCCAUUCUAGGCAGGGCCGGGUUCGCUGUAGCAGAAGAACUGAGCCACAACAACAAUACUUUACCGGCAAUGUUUACAAUGUUGUUUACAAUGUUUACAGUCUUUACAAUGUUCACAAAGACCAGGAAUGUUUACGCUACACAAUAUCACAGUACUGUAUGUAUAACUGCGUACUCUCUGGUACUAACAGGUAUAACUGUGUACUCUCUGGUACUAACAGGUAUAACUGCGUACUCUCUGGUACUAACAGGUAUAACUGUGUACUCUCUGGUACUAACAGGUAUAACUGUGUACUAUGUAGUACUAGAUUCAUAUCUGCUGUGCAGACGUUCUCCUCUAGGAGUGUUUUAAUGGAUAAUAAAUGUGACGUGUGUAUAUAUUUCA
Coregonus clupeaformis (lake whitefish) is the source of this 609-nucleotide long non-coding RNA. RefSeq lists it as uncharacterized. The record is from RefSeq and is a predicted model, not a curated record. Lineage: Eukaryota; Metazoa; Chordata; Actinopteri; Salmoniformes; Salmonidae. The transcript is spliced from 2 exons.